RNAcentral lists this ribosomal RNA (699 nucleotides) under uncultured bacterium. Its description in RNAcentral is "bacterial SSU rRNA". It matches the Rfam family "Bacterial small subunit ribosomal RNA", at positions 8 to 743 of the family's 1533-position model. The record is from RNAcentral.
AGAGUUUGAUCCUGGCUCAGAACGAACGCUGGCGGCAGGCCUAACACAUGCAAGUCGAGCGCUUUAACCACUUCGGUGGAGCGAGAGCGGCGGACGGGUGAGUAACGCGUGGGAAUAUGCCCUUCACUGCGGAAUAGCCUCGGGAAACUGAGAGUAAUACCGCAUACGCCCUUCGGGGGAAAGAUUUAUCGGUGAAGGAUUAGCCCGCGUUGGAUUAGGUAGUUGGUGGGGUAAAAGCCUACCAAGCCGACGAUCCAUAGCUGGUUUGAGAGGAUGAUCAGCCACACUGGGACUGAGACACGGCCCAGACUCCUACGGGAGGCAGCAGUGGGGAAUCUUAGACAAUGGGGGAAACCCUGAUCUAGCCAUGCCGCGUGAGUGACGAAGGCCUUAGGGUCGUAAAGCUCUUUCGCCAGGGAAGAUAAUGACGGUACCUGGUAAAGAAACCCCGGCUAACUCCGUGCCAGCAGCCGCGGUAAUACGGAGGGGGUUAGCGUUGUUCGGAAUUACUGGGCGUAAAGCGCGCGUAGGCGGACUAUUAAGUUAGUGGUGAAAUCCCAGGGCUCAACCCUGGAACUGCCUCUAAUACUGGUAGUCUUGAGUUCGAGAGAGGUGAGUGGAAUUCCGAGUGUAGAGGUGAAAUUCGUAGAUAUUCGGAGGAACACCAGUGGCGAAGGCGGCUCACUGGCUCGAUACUGA